Long non-coding RNA from Prinia subflava (tawny-flanked prinia), 1238 nucleotides. RefSeq lists it as uncharacterized. The record is from RefSeq and is a predicted model, not a curated record. Lineage: Eukaryota; Metazoa; Chordata; Aves; Passeriformes; Cisticolidae. The transcript has 5 exons.
GAGCCUUGUAGCCAAGAAGGCCAAAAGCGUGCACUGGGAAGAGCAUUGCCAGCAGGUGCAGGGAGAGGAUCCAGCCCCUCUGCGCAGCCCUGGGGAGGCACCUCUGGGUGCUGUGCCCAGGCCUUGGCUCCCCGGGGUGGGAAGGACGCGGAGCUCCCGGAGCGGCUCCUGGGGAGGCACCUCUGGGUGCUGUGCCCAGGUCUUGGCUCCCCGGGGCGGGAGGGACGCGGAGCUCCCGGAGCGGCUCCUGGGGCGCCUUUCUGAGGAGGAGAGGCCGAGGGAAAGGGUUGGGCUUGUUCACCCUCGAGACAGCGGAGAAGGGACCUCAUUAGCAGACUCGCACCUCCUCACCUUCCCAGCCUUAGAAAAGAGAGAAUGACUUCAGAACUGAAAUGAAGCAAAGUAAGAAGCAAAAGCUUAAUUUGCAUUUCCAUAUACGUUCAGCUGUUCUGCCUUACCUUGCAUGAGGAUUGAAUGGUAUAGGGAAGGAUUCACAUAACAUCUAAGGGAAUGGAUGAAAUGGAAAUCUAAGUUUUAUCUGGACUCCCUCCUUGUUCAUAACUCAGCUGAGUUUGAUAAGAAAACAGAAGAACAGAUGUACCCUAGUAGCAAUCCUGCAACCUACCUGCAUAAGUCAGAGGGAAGCAGAAGAGCAAACAGAGCCAGUGAAAUGCAACAGCUGUUAGGGCUCCCCAGUCCUGGGCUGAAGACUGAACUUACAAGAUGAUCAUGGAAAAUCCUUUCAUCUGAGAAAUGGUGUCUGAGCUGACAGCCUCUGAAGAUGAGAAAAGCAAGGCUUUCAGUGUCAUCUCUUCAUUUUUACUGACCUAGAAAAGGGAGAGGAAAGGGCAAAAAGACUUUUGGAGGAAGCCUGAGUGUUUCUGCUUAAGCAUCUAGUUGGUUAACAUGCUGGACUUGCAGAAGAAGUGUACGUCAUCAGUGGCGCACAUCCUGGAGAAUUCUCCUAUCAGAGGAAAUUCCUUCCCUGCAGUGAUCAAGUGAGGAAGCACUGAUUGCUCUGCAAAUUUCAGCAUUAUGACUUUUCAUAUUUCUGUUUUCCAUCUUUCAAUAAACAGGUGAGGUGUAGUUAACCUGAUUAUGAGGAGCUAGACAAAUAUGAUGCCUGUCUAAUGAUCUUACGUUUUCUUAACCAAUCAGCAGCAUUUACACUAUCACAGUGUCAACAUGUACAUAUUCUCUUUUUUCACGAUGACCCUAUGACCAUUGCAGGAUCAGAA